RNAcentral lists this ribosomal RNA (401 nucleotides) under uncultured bacterium. RNAcentral describes it as "bacterial SSU rRNA". It matches the Rfam family "Bacterial small subunit ribosomal RNA", at positions 30 to 433 of the family's 1533-position model. The record is from RNAcentral.
AUUGAACGCUGGCGGCAUGCCUUACACAUGCAAGUCGAACGGCAGCGCGGGAGCAAUCCUGGCGGCGAGUGGCGAACGGGUGAGUAACAUAUCGGAACGUGCCCUGGAGUGGGGGAUAACUAGUCGAAAGAUUAGCUAAUACCGCAUACGCUCUGUGGAGGAAAGUGGGGGAUCGCAAGACCUCAUGCUCGUGGAGCGGCCGAUAUCUGAUAGCUAGUUGGUAGGGUAAAAGCCUACCAAGGCGACGAUCAGUAGCUGGUCUGAGAGGACGACCAGCCACACUGGGACUGAGACACGGCCCAGACUCCUACGGAGGCAGCAGUGGGGAAUUUUGGACAAUGGGGGCAACCCUGAUCCAGCAAUGCCGCGUGAGUGAUGAAGGCCUUAGGGUUGUAAAGCUC